UUGCUUUCAUUUUAUUUUAUUUUUUUUCUUUUCUUUACUUGUUUUAAUAAAUGGUGGACAAUUUUUAUUUUGUUUAUAAAUACCUAACGGCUAUUAGUAUUAUUUUGGAUCUUCAGUUUCUAUUCUGUAAUAUUGAUAUAAAUCAUGGAGUACAAUACACCAUACACUAUCAUAUUAUAGCAACAUCUAAUGUAAUAUUCAUUUGAAAUAUCAGUUACGCACUUCAAUCUUCUACUCAUUCUCUCUCAAAUCUCUCCCUCUCUGUUUUUCCAUUCAUUUUAACUCGAAUCGCCUUUUUGAUGGUUCAAAAUGAUUCGUCUCUCUCUCUCUCUAUAUAACAAUACACAAUCCAUCUCUUUCGGGAUCUGCUACUAUUUUUUGCCUUGAUCCUGACUCAAUCCAUUGCCUUUUGAGGAUUGCUGGAUUGGGAGUGGGAGUCUUCCUUCUUCUAGCUCUUAGAAUCAGUGUGCCAAAGGUUGAUUCUUGGGAUGUAGUAUUGGUUGUAAAACAAAAGCCAAUUAUUAUUAUUUUUUUAUAUUUUAUAUUUUGUUAUUAUUAUUAAUUUCUUUUUAACAAUCUGAUGCAUCUACCUUCUUUUCUUUUCUUUUCUUCUGUACUCUUUUUGUUUCCCAUUCAAAUUUUCUAGAACAAUGUAUGUUUUCUUUGAAGGAUGCAACUUUUUAUUUUACUUGGUCUUGUGAUCUAUAAGUUUUUGAACCAUGUAAAAUACCAAUGAUAUAUUCUUUGA
This is a non-coding RNA of Camellia sinensis, 748 nucleotides long. NCBI's taxonomy places the organism in Eukaryota, Viridiplantae, Streptophyta, Magnoliopsida, Ericales, Theaceae. The record is from RefSeq and is a predicted model, not a curated record.